Molecule: non-coding RNA, 220 nt
Filed under: Acetobacter pasteurianus
Lineage: Bacteria; Pseudomonadati; Pseudomonadota; Alphaproteobacteria; Acetobacterales; Acetobacteraceae
Source: RNAcentral
AUUGCGCCAAUUUGCAACGGUCCCGCGCAAGCGGGUUUGAAAGGGAAUGCCGGAGUUUCAAUUACUGAAACCUAGUCGGCAACUGCCCUCGCAACUGUAGGCGGAGAGCACAUUACUUCAUGGUCGCAUAAAGCGGCAGCCACUGGUGGCAGCAUCGGGAAGGCUGAGUAACGUGUGAUGACCCGUAAGUCAGGAGACCUGCCGUUGUUGUCUAGUUUGA